This is a non-coding RNA of Pelobates cultripes (western spadefoot toad), 231 nucleotides long. NCBI's taxonomy places the organism in Eukaryota, Metazoa, Chordata, Amphibia, Anura, Pelobatidae. The record is from the annotation of a GenBank genome assembly.
UGUUUACUUGCCAUAAGAGAGCAGUUGUGUACAUAGUGCAUAUAUAUUCUGUUGGAUGGUAUCCAAUGUUUAUGAUUACAUUUUCUUUAAUAAAGGUUAAUGAUAUCUACAUAUCCUCAAGGAUUGUAAAUAGGAGGGAAAUAAAGUGUCAAACAAUAAACAAUUACCAAUACAGGAAGUUUGAGGGGGACGGUCUUCCAAGCUUAGAACCUAGAAGGAUAAGGAGGACAG